This 371-nucleotide transfer-messenger RNA is filed under the name Treponema sp. It matches the Rfam family "transfer-messenger RNA". From Rfam's summary of the family: Bacterial tmRNA, also known as 10Sa RNA or SsrA, is named for its dual tRNA and mRNA-like properties. Its role is to liberate the mRNA from a stalled ribosome. To accomplish this part of the tmRNA is used as a reading frame that ends in a translation stop signal. Lineage: Bacteria; Pseudomonadati; Spirochaetota; Spirochaetia; Treponematales; Treponemataceae. The record is from RNAcentral.
GGGGGUGUCCCGGUUUCGACUGGCAUGAGUAAUCUUGUGUUGCAGGUGAGGCUGUCGCCUGGUCUCUGAUACAGACGAAAACAAUAACUGCUAAACGUAGAGAAGACUUCGAGUCUGAAGACGCUCAGCUCGCUCUCGCUGCUUAAGUGAGGCCGGAACUGGUACUGCGCUGUUCCUAGCAGUAUCUGCUUCUGUUGCUAAUAGGGACUUGCUGCAAGCUUUGCACAGGAAGCAUGUGGGACUUUCACUGUGAUACGGAGACGACGCCUUUGAAGCCGCUACCGUCUCUCGACAAAUACCUCGCUUCAAUAAACCUGUAGAGGCACCUGGUUAGCUUGCUAGGACAGGGGUUCAAUUCCCCUCACCUCCAA